AUGGGAGUGCCUUCGUUCUACCGGUGGCUCGUGGAGAAGUACCCCAACAUCGUCACCCCCGCCGUCGAGGAAGAAGACUGUCCUGCUGGUGGCGCCGCCGCCGUUUACUUCGACAACCUCUACCUGGACAUGAACGGCAUCAUCCACGCCUGCUUCCACCCGGAGGACCAGACGGCGUGCCCUCCUCCGGCGACGUUCGACGAGGUGUUCCGGUCCAUGUUCGAUUACAUGGACCUCCUGCUCCGCAUGUCCGGCCCCGGAGGCUCCUCUACCUGGCAGUAG
This 282-nucleotide ribosomal RNA is filed under the name Triticum aestivum (bread wheat). RNAcentral's name for it is "partial small subunit ribosomal RNA". Lineage: Eukaryota; Viridiplantae; Streptophyta; Magnoliopsida; Poales; Poaceae. The record is from RNAcentral.